UCUCCUCACUCCAAGAACAGCCGGCCAAGGGAAGCAAAGAAACAACUCAAAGUUUUCCAUUUUUCCAUCUUCAUUUCUUCAACAAAACAUCACCAAAUCCUACCAAAAUUUGACCACACAUACCUCAACACUUGGAGAUUACAUCUAGCUAAGAAAAGGAGCUACAAUCCGUGGGUUUUCUUGAGCUAAGGAGAGCCGAAAUUUCUGUCUUGAACAUCAAAGCGAGUAAGUAACGAUCAACUCUUAAAUUCUUGUAUUAUGAGAGUAGUAAUGCACAUUUAAGAGCAUGCAUGCAUAUGGGUAGCUUGGAUAUGUUGAAAAAUGGUUGUGUGGGCUCUAUGAACUCCCACCUUGGAUAUAUGGACUGAUUUGAUGAUUGAUGAUGAAAUUAAUGGUGGUUUAAUACUUAAAUUAGUGGAUUAAUGUUGUAUGGUUGGUAGAAAAUCAAAAGAGGUGCUUGGAACAAAAGUGACCGUUUUACCCCUGCCUUGUCCGACCACUUUUGUGCAAAAUUUUGAGGUUCUAAUGGCUUGUUUAUGUUUUUUACAUGUUAUAUUGGUUGUGUAAAAAGUUUCAUUGAAAAAUAACUUGAUUUGGUCACUCAAAUGUUGAAAUUUCUAAAGGUUAGAAAACUGGAAUUUUGUUCCCAGAUUGCCCAGGCAGUCUUCUUGUUUCGGCCAUAACUUGUUGCUUCGAUGUCAAAAUCGAGUGCCGUUUGUAGCAUUGGAAACUAGACAUUUCUAGGUUUCUGUUGGUAUAAAAUUCAUGUCCUGGUUCCACUUGAGAAAGCCAAACCAUUCGUUUGAAAUCCACUGUCCUGUUUCGUUGCUUCCUGGAAGGCAGCACAUGAGCUGCAACUUGAUGCUCACGAAUGAGCUGGUUAUGGACAGAUUUUGAAAAUGGUUUCUUCUGAGAAAAUAUAGCCUUAUGAGUCUAUUUUCUAACUCCACAAACCACACUCAAUUCUGAGUUGAAUUGAGUGAUUUAUGAUCGAAAUUCAAAACUGACUUUGUGAACGAAACAGUGUUUUGGACAGAUUUGAAACUAACAAUGACUUGGGACUUGUUAUCCGGAAUUUUGGUGAUUAAUUACCUACAAAAUGUGUAUUGGAUACCUCUUAGACAUUGUCUAUGCACAUGGACCAUGCUUGAGGUACUUUGUUGGCCAAACGUUUUGAAAACGAAAAACGGAACAUACAAGGCAGAUUUACCUUGAAGUUCUUGGAGUUUUCGUGAUUUCGUUAACCAACUUCCCGAAUGAAUUUUCCUAUGAAUUUUGGUAGAGGAAUAUCCAUUAUAUGGUAGGAUAAACCUGCAAAAUUUGGUGCCAUUUCAAGUUCGUUUCGAUGUUCAACCGAUGUCCCAAAAACAGUGAUUUAAAUCUGGAAAAUGGUAAACAGGUUCCAAAUUUCAGCAACUUUGAGCUACCGUAUCUCGGUGCUCAAAACUCCAAUUCUCAUUCAACUUGCUUUUUUUUAAACUUUGUUCACAACUCUAAUUGAGUUCUAAAUUUUAAAGGCUGGUUCGCAAUGGGUGAAUUUUGCCGAAUUUCCAAAGUUGGCCAAAAACCAACCUCGAAAGCUGUCUUCAUGUUCAAAACAGCAACUUUGAGCCAAUUUUUGAAAACUUUCCGUCUGGAAUCAUGGAAAAGUGUAUUCUAUGAACUUUUACCACUUUGGAAGAGGUUUCCAACGGUACCAAGUUUUCCAAUUUUUGACUUGUAAAGCGUGAGAUACGAUUUUUCUAAUGUAUCAUAUCAAAACUGAAAAUUUCCAAAUUCCAAGGAAAUGGAGUUUUUCAAGUACUCCUUAUUCUUUCGAUAUUACUUGAACGUUUUAUACUUGAUUUCCAAGAUGAAAACUCAAUUUCUUCUGUACUUUGAAACCCCACUUGAGAGCCUCGAUUUAAGAUAAUUAAGGCUCGUUUCACGAGACUUUCUAAGAUUGUACUAUGGUACGAUCUUCUUUAAUAGUAGGAGUUUGUGAAUGAUAGUCUAUUAUUAUUUGUUCAGGCGCACACGAGGACCUUUAAGAGGAUCCCACGGUGGACGCUUGAACUUCAAUUGAAUCUACUUGCUCUUGUUACUUGGUGAGUGUCAAGUGUGUGUUACUUGAACUCCUGUGAACUCGAUACAUGUUUACUUGUAUUGAUACUUGAGAUUUUGAAAUUUGAGACGAGCGUGUACUUUAUCACACUUGAUCUCACUUGAAACAAAUAACUUGCUUGACAAGAAAUAAAUGACCUACUAGACAUGACAUGAAUGCUUGAAUGUAUCAAAUGCUUGAAUGACUUGAUAUAGUAUGCUAUGGCUGCAUACGUCGUAGGAGUGAAUCUCCUCGACACUCAAAAAUACAUAGGGACGCCCAAAUCUCAUCGGCCGACCUUGGACUUGAGCCGGCAUGGGCUUGGUCGGGAACCUUGGCGAACCAUGAGAAUCACAUGACAAGCUUGAUCUAGUAAGAGAUCUCGCUUGGCAUACUCGAGUAGUAUCGCCUUAAAUAAAUGACAGGCGGGCCCGAUACAGGGGUAUGUAAGGUGAAAGGGGACAUGUUAAGUGGAGUUCUGCAGACUAAACCUACCCGAUUGACGGAGUGUCAAUUCGUGGAGGUUAUUGCUCGUGCAAGUGGAAUAUAGCUCCUGAGAGCUCCAGUAUCCUUGAAUUGUUUCUGUUUACUUUUCCAGUGAAUUAUUAAUUAUUGAAAUAUUAUUGCUCGACUUGUAAAUUGGUUUGUUACUUGAAUAAUGUGCUUGCAUGUGUGUUCUUGGCCUCACGAGCGUUUUGCUCACCCUGUAGAUUUGUUUUCCUUAACAGGAUUGAGCUUGGAAUGAGACUCGGAGGAAAUUCCCUUUUGUACUUUUGUAAUAGGGUUCUAAUAAUAUUGACUAGAUUUGUGGCUAUGGUAUAUUUUGGGCUGUAUUAUGGAAACCUGAUGUAAGGAUUGGGUAAUUGUUAAAUAUUGUAAGCUUGAAUGCUUCCGGACAAAUCGUAUUUAUAUUAUCUAGUUGUUGACGUCUA
Molecule: long non-coding RNA, 3015 nt
Filed under: Coffea arabica (coffee)
Lineage: Eukaryota; Viridiplantae; Streptophyta; Magnoliopsida; Gentianales; Rubiaceae
Description: long non-coding RNA (CARA_LNC001915)
Source: RNAcentral